GACGAACGCUGGCGGCGUGCUUAACACAUGCAAGUCGAACGAAGAGCGAUGGAAGCUUGCUUCUAUCAAUCUUAGUGGCGAACGGGUGAGUAACGCGUAAUCAACCUGCCCUUCAGAGGGGGACAACAGUUGGAAACGACUGCUAAUACCGCAUACGAUCUAAUCUUGGCAUCGAGGAUAGAUGAAAGGUGGCCUCUACAUGUAAGCUAUCACUGAAGGAGGGGAUUGCGUCUGAUUAGCUAGUUGGAGGGGUAACGGCCCACCAAGGCGAUGAUCAGUAGCCGGUCUGAGAGGAUGAACGGCCACAUUGGGACUGAGACACGGCCCAGACUCCUACGGGAGGCAGCAGUGGGGAAUCUUCCGCAAUGGACGAAAGUCUGACGGAGCAACGCCGCGUGAGUGAUGACGGCCUUCGGGUUGUAAAGCUCUGUUAAUCGGGACGAAAGGCCUUCUUGCGAAUAGUGAGAAGGAUGGACG
Molecule: ribosomal RNA, 477 nt
Filed under: Veillonella parvula
Lineage: Bacteria; Bacillati; Bacillota; Negativicutes; Veillonellales; Veillonellaceae
Description: bacterial SSU rRNA
Rfam family: Bacterial small subunit ribosomal RNA
Source: RNAcentral